This is a non-coding RNA of Pelobates cultripes (western spadefoot toad), 84 nucleotides long. The record is from the annotation of a GenBank genome assembly. NCBI's taxonomy places the organism in Eukaryota, Metazoa, Chordata, Amphibia, Anura, Pelobatidae.
AAUACUAAUAAAAGUAGUCUUAGACACUAGUGUUGGACUUUCACUGAAAUUCCAACACUGUCUAAGACUACUUUUCUUAGUAUU